GCCCGGGUGGUGAAAUUGGUAGACACAAGAGACUUAAAAUCUCUCGCUCGUAAGGGUGUGCCGGUUCGACUCCGGCUCCGGGCACCA
RNAcentral lists this transfer RNA (87 nucleotides) under Methylophilus sp. RNAcentral's name for it is "tRNA-Leu". It matches the Rfam family "tRNA". From Rfam's summary of the family: Transfer RNA (tRNA) molecules are approximately 80 nucleotides in length. RNAcentral also lists the same sequence under 4 other names. Lineage: Bacteria; Pseudomonadati; Pseudomonadota; Betaproteobacteria; Nitrosomonadales; Methylophilaceae. The record is from RNAcentral.